UUUCCUAACGGUAUCCGCGCUGCGUAACCAGAUGCAGCAGAUCAGUCGAGACUGUUUCGUGAGAAAAUGUGAUGUUUGGCUGUGCAAAACCCACCGGCGCAGUACCAGCGUGUUGUGGUUGGUUGCUAUGCUGUUGCUAGAGCGUUUCUAGGGUAUCGUGGCUGGUUGCUAGGUGUCUGUUUACAGUCUGGAGUCUCUUCGGCGUGUAAAUGCGGUUCGGUUUCUCAUUCAUCGCGCGUCUGUGGGUUUUUGGGCAUCACUCGGUGAAGUACACAGCAUUCACAAACGCAACUUUAACACUCGGUAACGCAGGUUUGAUCUCACGCGUGUCUGCUCGCAGCGAUGAUAAAGAUCGUGAAUGACAGACAGCGGAGCUGAAACGCCCUUCGGCGGGCGGAGGUGAAGCUCCUCACACCGACCUCCGCUCGGUCCACAGACGCUCGGCACCUGUUGCACAGAGAGUUUGAGCUCCUGUGGGCCCGAUGCACGAAAACAGCCGCGCGUCUUCCCGUCCGGAGCAUCCGCGCAACAAAAGCGAACUGACACCGAAUCACAGCCGCGCGUGCCGGAGAACACCAGGAAUGAAUGAACGAACGAACGAACGAACGAAUGAAUGAACGCAGACAGCGGAGCAGAAAGAUGGGAGAUGGAACGAAUCAGAUGCACCAAGAAAUACAUGUGAUGGUGACGGCUCGAGUCAUGAACGAGCAUCAGCACCGGCGCCAUUGGGACGCGCGCUCCCACCCACCGCGCGUGCACGUCACCGGAGCGCCGACGGGAAUCUUGAGGAAAAUGAAAGUGUCUCGUGCGUGUUGUUGAGGUGAGCAUGAUGGAGAUCAGACGCGCCCAAAUGAACACAGACACUCCUGAACACCAGACAGGAAGAACAACACAGAAACAUCAGAACGUUCACAUCACACCAGCAACAACUGCUUAGCAAUGGUACGGGAUCUGUUCUCAUCAGAGAAGAUGCAGGCGGUGACGUCUCACAGGAACGCUUGACGUUUUCGGGCCCAUAUGCUGCGUUCGUGUCCGUAUGUGGAUCUGCAGGAAACAGGAAGUCAUUCCUCAGUCUGACACGCUAAACCGUUUCCCUCCAGCUGCUGAACCGAAGUUCACGUCCCACCGGAGAGAGAGAACAGGUUAACUUCAGGGAUAUUACACGCGUUCAUCAUCUCUGUGAUGCUGUAAUGGUGUUUUUGUCAUUUUCUGGAGUUGGACACUCCUGCUUUUAUCCACAGACUGAAGUGCACCUGUUUUGAAGCUCAUGCAAUUCACUGGGAAUCGAACCCAUGACCUUCCGUAGCGUGUGAGCGAGAGAAACGCUCCGAGGAACGUUCUGCUGAACGCCCGUCACGCGGCGUCACGUUCCGGUGAGCCGCGACCGACGGCCGUUUGUUGUGCCGACGCGGCUCGGUCCGCAGAUGAGGCCGAUCCGCGGGAGCCGCACAACGAGGAGAUUGAGCGUCAGUCUCAGCAUUACGCGUGGAUUAUGACGGCAGCGACUCUGUGUGUCACAGCAGGACAAGAAGAGGAUUACGCCGCUGUGAUCAGACUCUCUUUCUCACAGAGUCUCAUUAACAAACACCUGCUGCAGAGACUCAUCUCGUAUCACGCCAGAUCUCAACGAUAUGCUGAUGCCACGCUAUUGUUUGACCCGCGCUGUAAUCCUAAAUGAUUUCCUUCAUCUCCAUCCCUCACUCUUCCUGAGACACUGAAGGAGCCUUGCAGAGGUCAGAGGUCGUGACCUCAGUAGGCGCGUGACCUCGUGAUCCUCACUGACGGGCGCCGGUGUUGUUUUCUUCGAUACUGAGGUCGUUCUCAGCGUCGGUCCGGUUUAAUGAGCUCAAUGUGAAUCAAAUGAUCAACUAUCUCAAUCAGGGUCUGUUGAUAAUCAUCAUCUCUUAAUAAAGCAACAGGAAACCACGAAACUACUGUAAAAGAAGGAUUUGUAAUGGAGUCGAUCGACACUGAUGUCGGUCACUGCGGUGCUGAAGCUCAAUGAUCAGGGCACAUUUCACCUCCAAAUCAUACCUGUGACCCUGGACCACAAAACCAGUCAUAAGAGUCAAUUUUUUGAAAUUUGAGAUUUAUACAUCUCUGACAGCUGAAUAAAUUAGCUUUCCGUUGAUGUGUGGUUUGUUAGGAUAGGACAAUAUUUGGCUGAGAUACAACUAUUUGAAAAUCUGGAAUCUGAGGGUGCAAAAAAUCUAAAUAUUGACCAAAUCGCCUUUAAAGUUGUCCAAAUGAAGUUCUUAGCAACACGUUACUAAUCAGAAAUUAAGUUAAGAUAUAUUUACAGUAGGAAAUUUACAAAAUAUCUUCAUGGAACAUGAUCUUUACUUAAUAUCCUAAUGAUUUUUGGCAUAAAAGAAAAAAAAUGUUAAUUUUGACCCAUACAAUGUCUUUUUGGCCGUUGCUACAAAUAUACCCUUAAAGUAGUCGUGUAACGGUCUGGGUGUUGGUCCCUUCGAGACUCGGGUUUCCCUGCCUCUGCACUCGUGGAUAUAUGCUGGAAGAACACAGUGUGUAAUCUGUCGUUGUUGCACCAUUUCCUUAAGUAAUAAUACACAAGUUGAUGGUGACCUGCCUCGUGUGGUUCUUUCCUGACGUCCCACAGGUUACAGUCGUUCACUUCCAGAACAAAAAUUGACAGGUAAUGUACUCACCCUGUUGUCAUCCGAGACGUUCAUGUCUUUCUUUCUUCAUUCGUAAGGAAAUUAUGCUUUUUGAGGAAAACAUGUCAAGAAUGUUCUCCAUAUAGUGGACUUAUAUGGUGCCCACGAGACUGUAAGACUAUAGAAACCCAAGACCUGUCACUUGUGUAGUUUUAAAUGGGGAAAAAUGCAACCCUCAUUAUGGCCCCGAAGCCCCGCCUUCGGAAUAAAUGAGCCAAUCGCUAAUCGGUAAAGUCAGCACGUCACUGCAGCUGCAGUUAGAAGUCCUGGUUGCUAUAGAAACUGUCAGCGUUCUGAGACGUGGGCUCAAUACUGCGCAUGCGCAAUGACUGACCUCGCCUGAAAAAUAAGCUUUUUUCAAUGCUACUGGAGCAUAAGGAAUAGUAUUUAUCCUUGGUGAUUUCAAAUAUGAAAUUUAAUCAUAAGCUUGGUGAACAGUUUUGGAGAAUUUGAUGUUUCCCCAUUCAGAGAUAUAGGAGCUGCACUUGCCUGCCUGCUUUUACAUGUUGUUUGAACAUUAAUGUGUGUAUGUACACGUCACCCUAUAAUGAUAAGAGUCCACCAGUGUUUUUUAUUUAAUCUGUAAAAAUAAUUUCCCCUUUUUCAAAUCAAGCCAUUCUCAGCUUGUUGUCUGUGUGACGACCAUAGACUGUAAAAAAUAUGGACGUAGUGUCCGUGACGUCACCCGUAGGUUUAUGAAGAGCAUUUUUGAAGCUCUUAGUGGGCGGGAGUCGGCCGUCGCCAUCUUGGAAUCGCGUCACUGCACGUCACUCCCGGAUACUCAAAAAUGGGCAAAGAGGUGGGACGUGGGUGGAGCUGGUUGCUGAAACCACGCCUGCCUAGCGCGACGGUGGUGUCAGCAGCAACAAUCCACCUGUCACUCAAGUGUCCACACCCUAAAUUAUGCAGAACUUUAAGUCUUAAUAUAAUUUAAACGGAUGAGUUAUAAAAAAAAUUAUCCGCCCUCACAGCUGACAUGAAGGGCAAAAUUAGCUAUAUAGACCGAAACCACUUUUUGUUCCAGGCUGUAAACAUUUUUUUUUCAGCUGUAAAGUUGGGCAUUUUAACAUGGGGAGUCUAUGGGAUUGAUUCCCUUUUGGAGCCAGUCUCUAGGGGCCAGUCGAUGAAUUGCAGUUUAAGUCACUUCCGUGUUGGCUUCAGUAGAGAGAGCGGGAGGUUUCCACUUGGUGACGUCACACCGACAGAGGCCGCUCUCACGAUAGUUGAUUGACACGGCCGUUUUACCGUAGACGGAAUGAGCUGUAACAGUCCGACCGCCACUGUUUCAUGCCGGAGCAGGGACGUAGACAAGAAUGGCUCCUAAGCGAUUGAGGUGUUGUGUUGCUGGAUGUAAUAAUGAACAUAGUGGUCGUCAUUUACUCCCGACAUCUGAGCCGCUGAAGAUGCAGUGGAUUACGUUUGUUUGUGAAUGGAAUGCACCUCCCGAUCUACAUAUAUCCGUCUGUGUUCACACAAAUCAUUCAUGAUCCAGUUUCACUUACAGCAGAAGUGAGUAUAAGCGUUUUUUUAUGAAUCUUUGCGAUCGCCUUUCCUAAUAACGUGAUAGAUUCACAUAUAAUGUACUCACCCCCUUGUCAUCCAAGAUGUUUAUGUCUUUCCUUCUUCAGUCGUAAAAAAAAAUGUUUUUUGAGAAAAACAUUUCAGCACUUUUCUCCAUAUAAUGGACUGAUAUGGUGCCCCGAUUUUGAACUUCCAAAAUGUAGUUUAAAUGCAGCUUCAAACGUUCACAAAUGCAGAUUACAAACGAGUCCAGCCAAGGAAGAAGGGUCUUAUCUAGCGAAACCAACGGUUAUUUUCAUAAAAGUAAUAUAUAUUUAUAUACUUUUAUAUACUUCGUAAUGUCAAACGCUCGUCUUGUCUUACUCUGCCCGGACUGUUUUUGUUCCGGUUCAUGUCAGUUAGUGUAUGUGGAAAAACUCCCAUCUCAUGUUCUCCCUCAACUUCAAAAUCGUCCUAUAUCACUGUUUUACCAUUGUUUUGGAAAUGGACUUUUCCCUUAGGACCCUAAAGAAUCAUAUCAACCUUUUCUGACGACCCCUUUAAAUAAACCUCUGUGUCCAGACAGAAUGAAUUUCUUCACAUGACUGUCAUUUAAUUGCCAUGAAAAUAAUGGCACAUCUAAAACCAGCUUUCUUUUUUCCUUUUGAUUUUGAAAUAAAUUGUGGCCUGCACAUGUUUUUGGCAGGUUUUGUGAGAUUGAUGGGGUUUAUCAGGGUUUGGUCAUUUGUUUCUAAUCACGGGAGCAUUGUGGGAAUCACAGAUGACGCCGGACGCUCAUGAAUGUUAAACGAUGGAGCAGAUCUUCAUCUGACGCUGGUUGUGAGAUUCUGUCUGUCUCAUUGUCCGCUGUGUGACUGUGAAUCAUUAUGAGCUGCAAAUAAAAUAACAGAUAAAAUUGACACACACAAUAAUUCAUCUCACUAAAUGAGAACAUUACAUAGAUUAUGUUGUAUUUAUAAACAGUGAAUUACAAAUACUAAACAACACACACAUAAUGUAUAAAAACAAAGUAAAAAAAACCUUAGAUUUGUGAAAUGAUUUACUGUAUUUCAUAAGACUCAGUGUAUGUCCAUAUCAAACUCUUUCCUGCCUCUUUUAUUGUAUUUAAAUGGAGGUGAUCUAUAAUUAAUGUAUCUAAUAUGUAAAGUGUUUGAGACUAUCGUGAUGAAAAAAAAACACUUAAUUUCUGAAUAAAAGUUUGUA
Labeo rohita (rohu) is the source of this 5402-nucleotide long non-coding RNA. RefSeq lists it as uncharacterized. NCBI's taxonomy places the organism in Eukaryota, Metazoa, Chordata, Actinopteri, Cypriniformes, Cyprinidae. The transcript is spliced from 3 exons. The record is from RefSeq and is a predicted model, not a curated record.